GUUCGUGCUGAAGGCCUGUUGCCUAGGCUACAGAUGGAGGACUCGGUUCCUUAUUUGCACCCAGGGGAAAGUCCCUGGACUGUGGGCAGGAGUGCUGUGAGUGCAUGCAUAUAGACUUCCCCUGCUUCUCACUGUCAAUCCUCCACCAAGAAGUGAGCGAGAUUACAGAAGCCAGGGGCAUGGUUAUGGUGGUGCAGCCAAGGGGCAGGGGGCGGGGGGGUAGUUAAUCUGCUCUCAACUUGCCUUCUCAAAUUGACCCAAGUAGUGACAGGCUGCCCGGUCUAGUUUCACACCUCUUAUCCCAAUGCAUUAGUCUAGGUUCCCAACAUGCAGACACCAAGGUGGGAUUAAAUGAGCAAGGU
RNAcentral lists this small RNA (362 nucleotides) under Myotis lucifugus (little brown bat). Its description in RNAcentral is "RNase MRP (ENSMLUG00000022060.1)". It matches the Rfam family "RNase MRP", at positions 1 to 230 of the family's 266-position model. Rfam says of the family: RNase MRP is an enzymatically active ribonucleoprotein with two distinct roles in eukaryotes. In mitochondria it plays a direct role in the initiation of mitochondrial DNA replication. The record is from RNAcentral. Lineage: Eukaryota; Metazoa; Chordata; Mammalia; Chiroptera; Vespertilionidae.